RNAcentral lists this small RNA (179 nucleotides) under Xenorhabdus bovienii SS-2004. RNAcentral's name for it is "IscS-1 ICR thermometer". It matches the Rfam family "IscS-1 ICR thermometer". From Rfam's summary of the family: Imprinting control region from upstream of iscS-1 (cysteine desulfurase). The record is from Rfam by way of RNAcentral. Lineage: Bacteria; Pseudomonadati; Pseudomonadota; Gammaproteobacteria; Enterobacterales; Morganellaceae.
UCAAGAAGUCUUAGACGUUGCUGAUCGUCAAGACAGCGAUAAACGCCGUACACCUAACGGCAGGCCUCAAGAGACGAUUAACGUUAACCUGCGUGCGUAAACUUUGCGGCAAACAGAAGUAUUAAAAGUGUUUUACGGAGCAUGUGAGCAAUGAAAUUACCCAUUUAUUUGGACUAUUC